RNAcentral lists this long non-coding RNA (646 nucleotides) under Capsella rubella. RNAcentral's name for it is "long non-coding RNA (CRUB_LNC001808)". The record is from RNAcentral. Lineage: Eukaryota; Viridiplantae; Streptophyta; Magnoliopsida; Brassicales; Brassicaceae.
GUUAUUAUCCACCAGACAGAGAAUCGUGUCGCGCCCGAACUCGCUCUAGCCCGAGAUUCCCGCCGCGACUCUCUUUCUCGUGAUUUUGCACUUCUGUUUCGUAUUGGGUUCUCAGCUCGGCUGAUAGUCUAUAACUGCCGCAGCGAGACUUCUCUCUUUGUAACUUCAGAUUUUCUGUAAAAGCUAAUAAAGAAAACUGUUUCGUAUCGUCCCAAAAAUCUCGUAUCAUUAUUGUAGCUGCUCCCCCCUUGCAUAAACAGAAAAGUAUUCGGGUUCUGGAUGGUUAUAGGCCUAUAGACCUUGCCAAACUAGAUCAACGAAGCUAAGAAGGAAAAAUGAGUAAACUAAUAAAGGUGUAGUGGUUACAUAAGGAAACUAAAUGCGAAAGCAAAGUUUUGGAUUUUGGUGAUGGUGAUGUACUCAUAUGUUACUGUCUGCAUUUAUUUUGGUACCUUUCCAGCCGCAUAGUGACUCAGACACAGUAAAACUAGAAGAUGUUCUCUGUUCACACACUAUUAUUUUUGUUAUCUUGUACAUAUGUAUUUUAUAUUUUAGAUCUUCUGUGACGUGGUGUAAAUUGAUUCAUCGCUGAGUUGAAAAACAAAAUAAAAUAACAUACGCACGUCAAUCCGAACAUAUAAAAAAA